GAGAACCUGGGCCUGCGCUACUUGCGCGGCUCCAACCAAUACACAGUGUGUUAUACUUCUCUUGCUUUGGCUCUGCCAAAGGUUUUAAACACAGAAAUUUAUUUUCUCUAGAAACUAGUCAAUUUGAAUUUUAAUCUUCA
Molecule: unclassified non-coding RNA, 140 nt
Filed under: uncultured Pichia
Lineage: Eukaryota; Fungi; Ascomycota; Saccharomycetes; Saccharomycetales; Saccharomycetaceae
Description: sequence contains ITS1
Source: RNAcentral